This 75-nucleotide transfer RNA is filed under the name Nevskia sp. RNAcentral describes it as "tRNA-Lys". It matches the Rfam family "tRNA". From Rfam's summary of the family: Transfer RNA (tRNA) molecules are approximately 80 nucleotides in length. The record is from RNAcentral. Lineage: Bacteria; Pseudomonadati; Pseudomonadota; Gammaproteobacteria; Nevskiales; Nevskiaceae.
GGGCUGCUAGCUCAAUGGUAGAGCAGCUGACUCUUAAUCAGUAGGUUCCCAGUUCGAGUCUGGGGCAGCCCACCA